AGCCAUGGGCAGGUUGAAGGUUGGGUAACACUAACUGGAGGACCGAACCGACUAAUGUUGAAAAAUUAGCGGAUGACCUGUGGCUGGGGGUGAAAGGCCAAUCAAACCGGGAGAUAGCUGGUUCUCCCCGAAAGCUAUUUAGGUAGCGCCUCGUGAAUUCAUCUCCGGGGGUAGAGCACUGUUUCGGCUAGGGGGCCAUCCCGGCUUACCAACCCGAUGCAAACUGCGAAUACCGGAGAAUGUUAUCACGGGAGACACACGGCGGGUGCUAACGUCCGUCGUGAAGAGGGAAACAACCCAGACCGCCAGCUAAGGUCCCAAAGUCAUGGUUAAGUGGGAAACGAUGUGGGAAGGCCCAGACAGCCAGGAUGUUGGCUUAGAAGCAGCCAUCAUUUAAAGAAAGCGUAAUAGCUCACUGGUCGAGUCGGCCUGCGCGGAAGAUGUAACGGGGCUAAACCAUGCACCGAAGCUGCGGCAGCGACACUGUGUGUUGUUGGGUAGGGGAGCGUUCUGUAAGCCUGUGAAGGUGUGUCGUGAGGCAUGCUGGAGGUAUCAGAAGUGCGAAUGCUGACAUAAGUAACGAUAAAGCGGGUGAAAAGCCCGCUCGCCGGAAGACCAAGGGUUCCUGUCCAACGUUAAUCGGGGCAGGGUGAGUCGACCCCUAAGGCGAGGCCGAAAGGCGUAGUCGAUGGGAAACGGGUUAAUAUUCCCGUACUUGGUGUUACUGCGAAGGGGGGACGGAGAAGGCUAUGUUGGCCGGGCGACGGUUGUCCCGGUUUAAGCGUGUAGGUGUGUGUUCCAGGUAAAUCCGGUUCACUUUAACACUGAGGCGUGACGACGAGGCACUACGGUGCUGAAGCAACAAAUGCCCUGCUUCCAGGAAAAGCCUCUAAGCAUCAGGUAACAUCAAAUCGUACCCCAAACCGACACAGGUGGUCAGGUAGAGAAUACCAAGGCGCUUGAGAGAACUCGGGUGAAGGAACUAGGCAAAAUGGUGCCGUAACUUCGGGAGAAGGCACGCUGACACGUAGGUGAAGUGAUUUACUCAUGGAGCUGAAGUCAGUCGAAGAUACCAGCUGGCUGCAACUGUUUAUUAAAAACACAGCACUGUGCAAACACGAAAGUGGACGUAUACGGUGUGACGCCUGCCCGGUGCCGGAAGGUUAAUUGAUGGGGUCAGCGCAAGCGAAGCUCCUGAUCGAAGCCCCGGUAAACGGCGGCCGUAACUAUAACGGUCCUAAGGUAGCGAAAUUCCUUGUCGGGUAAGUUCCGACCUGCACGAAUGGCGUAAUGAUGGCCAGGCUGUCUCCACCCGAGACUCAGUGAAAUUGAACUCGCUGUGAAGAUGCAGUGUACCCGCGGCAAGACGGAAAGACCCCGUGAACCUUUACUAUAGCUUGACACUGAACAUUGAGCCUUGAUGUGUAGGAUAGGUGGGAGGCUUUGAAGUGUGGACGCCAGUCUGCAUGGAGCCGACCUUGAAAUACCACCCUUUAAUGUUUGAUGUUCUAACGUGGACCCGUUACCCGGGUUGCGGACAGUGUCUGGUGGGUAGUUUGACUGGGGCGGUCUCCUCCUAAAGAGUAACGGAGGAGCACGAAGGUUGGCUAAUCCUGGUCGGACAUCAGGAGGUUAGUGCAAUGGCAUAAGCCAGCUUGACUGCGAGCGUGACGGCGCGAGCAGGUGCGAAAGCAGGUCAUAGUGAUCCGGUGGUUCUGAAUGGAAGGGCCAUCGCUCAACGGAUAAAAGGUACUCCGGGGAUAACAGGCUGAUACCGCCCAAGAGUUCAUAUCGACGGCGGUGUUUGGCACCUCGAUGUCGGCUCAUCACAUCCUGGGGCUGAAGUAGGUCCCAAGGGUAUGGCUGUUCGCCAUUUAAAGUGGUACGCGAGCUGGGUUUAGAACGUCGUGAGACAGUUCGGUCCCUAUCUGCCGUGGGCGCUGGAGAACUGAGGGGGGCUGCUCCUAGUACGAGAGGACCGGAGUGGACGCAUCACUGGUGUUCGGGUUGUCAUGCCAAUGGCACUGCCCGGUAGCUAAAUGCGGAAGAGAUAAGUGCUGAAAGCAUCUAAGCACGAAACUUGCCCCGAGAUGAGUUCUCCCUGAGACUUAGAGUCUCCUGAAGGAA
Molecule: ribosomal RNA, 2127 nt
Filed under: Salmonella enterica subsp. enterica serovar Enteritidis
Lineage: Bacteria; Pseudomonadati; Pseudomonadota; Gammaproteobacteria; Enterobacterales; Enterobacteriaceae
Description: partial 23S ribosomal RNA
Rfam family: Bacterial large subunit ribosomal RNA
Source: RNAcentral